GAUGAACGCUGGCGGCGUGCCUAAUACAUGCAAGUCGAGCGAACAGAUGAGGAGCUUGCUCCUCUGACGUUAGCGGCGGACGGGUGAGUAACACGUGGAUAACCUACCUAUAAGACUGGGAUAACUUCGGGAAACCGGAGCUAAUACCGGAUAAUAUAUUGAACCGCAUGGUUCAAUAGUGAAAGACGGUUUUGCUGUCACUUAUAGAUGGAUCCGCGCCGCAUUAGCUAGUUGGUAAGGUAACGGCUUACCAAGGCAACGAUGCGUAGCUGACCUGAGAGGGUGAUCGGCCACACUGGAACUGAGACACGGUCCAGACUCCUACGGGAGGCAGCAGUAGGGAAUCUUCCGCGAUGGGCGAAAGCCUGACGGAGCAACGCCGCGUGAGUGAUGAAGGUCUUCGGAUCGUAAAACUCUGUUAUUAGGGAAGAACAAAUGUGUAAGUAACUAUGCACGUCUUGACGGUACCUAAUCAGAAAGCCACGGCUAACUACGUG
RNAcentral lists this ribosomal RNA (497 nucleotides) under uncultured bacterium. RNAcentral describes it as "partial 16S ribosomal RNA". It matches the Rfam family "Bacterial small subunit ribosomal RNA", at positions 28 to 507 of the family's 1533-position model. The record is from RNAcentral.